Molecule: transfer RNA, 64 nt
Filed under: Centrotus cornutus
Lineage: Eukaryota; Metazoa; Arthropoda; Insecta; Hemiptera; Membracidae
Description: tRNA-Tyr
Source: RNAcentral
AUUGGGGUGUCUGAAAUAAAAGUAACAAAUUGUAAAUUUGUAGAUGAAUUAAAUUCUCCUAAUA